GUGACUGCGGAGGAUCAUUAGAGAGAGGGUGUGAGUGCGAGUUGUAUGGCGUAAGCCGUACACGACACUUGCACACGAAACUUGCUCUCGCAAGAGAGUGAGCAACCAUUAACUAGAACUAUUGACAUUUAUCAUCUAAUUUAAUAUUACUUUUAACAACGGAUCUCUGGGCUCCCGCAACGAUGAAGAACGCAGUGAAAUGCGAAACGUAAUGCGAUUUGCAGUGUCUGUGAGUCAUCGAGUCUUUGAACGCACUUGGCACCAAGUGAGAACUUGGUGUACCUGUUUGAGCAGAGUAAGAAUGUGAAUUGAUGAGUCUCACAGCCAGUGUGUGACUUGGAAGGCAUUUCUUGAGGCUACAGCGAGUAGCAGCAGUGACAUGAGUUGAAUGAGCCGUGGCCCAUUUUCGUGUGACUGCUGGUGCGAGCUGUAGACAAACUUCUUGACCCCACUCUACUUUUACAAUCUCUCUCAGAUCAGGCAAGAUUACCCGCUGAACUUAA
Molecule: unclassified non-coding RNA, 503 nt
Filed under: uncultured fungus
Lineage: Eukaryota; Fungi
Description: sequence contains ITS1, 5.8S rRNA gene, ITS2
Rfam family: 5.8S ribosomal RNA (bases 148-296)
Source: RNAcentral